AUGGCGGAAGCGGAGGGGCCCUUUCAUGUGCUCCGGACCGGGACAGGCCGGUUCCUCUGCUACUGCGGACCCGACGGCGCCGUCUAUGUGACCGACGCGAUGGAGGUCUGGGCCGGGGAGCUCGGUGACUGCCCGGCGCUCGGCUUUCGGUGCCCGCCGGAGGAGCACGGCGCGAUGCUCAGGGCCGCCCUGGAUCACGGAGCCGCCGCGCUGAGCCUGGGCCCGGGUUCGGCCACGCUGCGGCUGCCGGAGGAGCCGCAGUGCCCGGCCCUGGCCCUCGCCCAGCUGCCCGCCGCCGAGGCGCGCAGCCAGCUGCAGGCGCUGGUCUUCGGCAUGGCCGGCUGCAUCGAGAGCCUGGAGAGGCGCCUGGAAGCAGUGGAGACGUUAGCAUCUUCCUGCAGCCCUGAGAAGAACGCUGCCCGGAGCCAGCAGCUCUUCCUGCCAGGUAGGCACUGCCAGGGGCACCUGCCCUGCUCCUGCAGUCUUUUGUCUUCUCCUUCCUGGAGGCUGCUGCUCCUGUAUCCAUGUGCUCUCCAGGACACUCUUGAGUGCCCUCAGCUCUGGCUGCUGGCAGUCACCUGUUGUCCUGGUGCUCUUCCAGGCAGAGCAGGGGCAGGGUUUAGUGUGGUGGCUCUCAGGGUGUCUGGAAUGCUCAGGUCAAAGGCUGGGCAUUGCCAGCCUCAGAAGGAGGGCAGGCUUUCCUGUGCUUCCAGACUGGAGGCUGUGUGGAUCCAUGCCUCCUUGUGGGAGAGAAGGCCAAGCCUGGCCCUUGCCCUCUGUGGCUGCUGGUCCUGCCAGGGUGGGCUCCUGGAGGCUCCCCCUAGCCGUGGAGGGACUGGCAGGGCAGCCAGAGCUCCUGGGUAACCUGUAAUCUGUGUCCUGCCUGUUCCUGACCGAGGCAGACCCCAGCCCCAGGAAGAGUAAGGCUUCUGGCUCAGCUUUGCCAGGCAAAAGGAAGGUUCCGGGGGAGUCUCUCAUUAACCCUGGUUUCAAAAGCAAGAAGGUG
This is a non-coding RNA of Agelaius phoeniceus (red-winged blackbird), 1006 nucleotides long. NCBI's taxonomy places the organism in Eukaryota, Metazoa, Chordata, Aves, Passeriformes, Icteridae. The record is from RefSeq and is a predicted model, not a curated record.